RNAcentral lists this long non-coding RNA (888 nucleotides) under Rosa chinensis. RNAcentral describes it as "sRNA RchiOBHm_Chr5g0032671". The record is from RNAcentral. Lineage: Eukaryota; Viridiplantae; Streptophyta; Magnoliopsida; Rosales; Rosaceae.
GUGAAUCAGACGACGGGCUAAAGCCUGUUGUCUGAUUGAAAAUGAGGCUGUUGUCUAGUAGCCUGUCGUCUGAUUGCAUUCAAUCAGAUGACAGGCUUUUUAUGUCGUCUUUUUUCUCAUUCAUACAACAUGUAUAUAUAAAUAUGUGUUGUCUGAAUUUAUGCAAUUUCUAUUAAUUUGGCUAAACUGUCGUAGAGUAUAGAAUCACACAACAGUUUAUUGCCCAAGUGUUGUGUGAAAUGAUCUUAGCACAACAAUUUUUCCAUGUCUGUGUGGUUGUGUGAUUCAUCCAACAACAUAGAUAUGAUAAAUAUGUUGUCUGGAGUGAACCUCAAACAAGAGUUCAUUUGGCAAUGAUAAAUAUGUUGUCUGAAGUAAACCUCAUACUAUAAAUACUAUUUCCUUCUAUUGUCUGAAUUCACCCUUAGAUAACAAUUUGUUUGAUGGCCCUGUUGUCUGAAAUAAGCUUCAGAUGACAUGUGUAGGACCAGUUGUCGUCUUGAAUGAACCUCACACUACACAUGUUUUCCCUUUAUGUUGUCUGAAUAUUACUUUGAAUAACAAGUUUGAGGAUGACUUUGUUGUCUGAAAUUCAUUUAAGAUAACAUGUGUGGGAUAAUUUGUCGUCUGAAAUGAACCUCAGAUUACACAUUCUUUCCCUUUAUGUUGUCUGAAUUUGAUUUAGGAUAACAAUUUCCAGGAUAUAUAUGUAGUCUGAAAUACAUUUUAGAUAACAAGUGAGGGAUGCAUGUGUUGUCUUAAAUGAACCUCACACUACCCUUACUAUUUCUUUUUGUUGUUUGAAUUGCAUUUAAUAUAACAAGUUACUGGAUGCAUGUGUUGUCUGAUAACUUUGCACUACUACAGUUACUUGUCCUGCAAAUAUGA